Molecule: transfer RNA, 72 nt
Filed under: Phoeniculus purpureus (green woodhoopoe)
Lineage: Eukaryota; Metazoa; Chordata; Aves; Bucerotiformes; Phoeniculidae
Description: tRNA-Ile
Source: RNAcentral
GGAAAUGUGCCUGAGUAAAAGGAACGCCCUGAUGCGGCGCCCACAGAGGUCACACCCCCCUCUCAUUUCCAU